GUGAGAUGUGGCACGUAUACUAAAGUUGGAACGAAACCGAGAAGAUAAGCAUGACCCUCUGUAAGGAUGACAUGCAAAUCUGUGAAGCGUUCCAUAUUUGU
This is a small nuclear RNA of Vicugna pacos (alpaca), 101 nucleotides long. Lineage: Eukaryota; Metazoa; Chordata; Mammalia; Artiodactyla; Camelidae. The record is from Ensembl.